This 447-nucleotide ribosomal RNA is filed under the name uncultured bacterium. Its description in RNAcentral is "partial 16S ribosomal RNA". It matches the Rfam family "Bacterial small subunit ribosomal RNA", at positions 29 to 523 of the family's 1533-position model. The record is from RNAcentral.
AACGAACGCUGGCGGCAGGCUUAACACAUGCAAGUCGAACGCCCCGCAAGGGGAGUGGCGCCCGGGUGCGUAACGCGUGGGAACAUGCCCUUAGGUGCGGAAUAACGUCGGGAAACUGACGCUAAUACCGCAUAAUAUCCCCGGAUCAAAGAUUUAUCGCCAAAGGAUUGGCCCGCGUUAGAUUAGGUAGUUGGUGGGGUAAUGGCCUACCAAGCCGACGAUCUAUAGCUGGUAUGAGAGGAUGAUCAGCCACACUUGAACUGAGACACGGUCCAGACUCCUACGGGAGGCAGCAGUGAGGAAUAUUGGACAAUGGGGGAAACCCUGAUCCAGCCAUGCCGCGUGAGUGGUGAAGGCCUUAGGGUUGUAAAGCUCUUUUAGACGGGAAGAUAAUGACUGUACCAUCAGAAUAAGCCCCGGCUAAAUUCGUGCCAGCCGCCGCAGUAA